Long non-coding RNA from Sander lucioperca (pikeperch), 186 nucleotides. RefSeq lists it as uncharacterized. The record is from RefSeq and is a predicted model, not a curated record. Lineage: Eukaryota; Metazoa; Chordata; Actinopteri; Perciformes; Percidae. The transcript has 2 exons.
AAACAUACUUGCUAUUAAAUUCAAACAAGACAAGAGCAAAUAAGUCAAAAUAGAUUUUUAUAUAAGUUCUGCAACAUUAGUGUUUACUCCAAAAAAUAUGUAUUUAUAUCUUCAAUUCACUAACUUUUCCAUUUUAACCCUUGUGUUGUCUUCCCGUCGACCACACAGAUUUUUGUCAUUCUGGGU